This is a long non-coding RNA of Nicotiana tabacum (common tobacco), 952 nucleotides long. RefSeq lists it as uncharacterized. NCBI's taxonomy places the organism in Eukaryota, Viridiplantae, Streptophyta, Magnoliopsida, Solanales, Solanaceae. The record is from RefSeq and is a predicted model, not a curated record.
AUAUUUUUCAUUAAUGAGAGUAUCUUUACCCUUGUUGCUACGGAAAGUUUUUGUCGCUAGGUAUUCAGGGAAAAAGAGUUGCGUCAAAAUAAGUGUUCUGCUUUAGUGAAAAACCAGCCCCUUUCUAAAAAAUAAGGUCUUUCUUUCUCACACAAGAAUACACUAAGAAACCACCCCAUUUGCUUCUUCUUCUUCUCCUCUAAUCUUCCAUUAAUUUUUCCAGAUGCGUUACUACAUCAACUCUUUUCUAAAAUACUGGUGUUUUGAGAUCUGCGUGGUUUCCAAUUUCUUCAAGGUGAAGUGCUACAAAACUCUACAUUGUUGCUGAACUUUCACGCUGUUUUGUCCUGCUUUUGAGACUGCUUUGAUUGACAGAGAAGUGAAGCGCCUAUGGGGAAGUAAGGCAGCGAGAAGGUACUGUGAUUUUAUAUGCAAAAAAAAAGAAAAGAUAAGGAUAUAGUUCAACCAGAUUUUGUUCCAAAAGAUGUGUGGGACAAUUGGAUGGAACUAUGGAAGGAUCCUAAGUGUGUCAAAAAAUCAGAAAUAAAUACAAAAUAUCGUUGUGGCGGUGGGACUGCCAUCACCAUUAGGACUCACACGGGUGACUCUGUCACCAUUGGGGAACAUCGCAAGAGACUUGCUAUUGAAAAGGGUCGAGAUCCAACACCAAGUGAGCUACACUUGCACGUCCAUACACAUGGUCAUGAUGAAAAAUCGUUUGUUAGUAAGCGAUCCCGACUUGUACAUAAAAAUGGUAUUUUGAGGACUUUUGACACAUCUAAGACCUAAGGAGGCUAAGAAGAAGUUGGAAAAGGAAGAGCACAAGGAUUCCAUCAUUCAAUCCCAACUCAAGAUAAGGAUUUGGAUUAUUUUAUGUUUUUUUCUACUUUAAAAUUAAUUAUAAUGAAUUACUCCAUAUCCAUAGAGCAAUUCUUCCUUAGGGAUUGAUGGA